This 511-nucleotide ribosomal RNA is filed under the name uncultured bacterium. RNAcentral describes it as "bacterial SSU rRNA". It matches the Rfam family "Bacterial small subunit ribosomal RNA", at positions 29 to 518 of the family's 1533-position model. The record is from RNAcentral.
AACGAACGCUGGCGGCGUGCUUAACACAUGCAAGUCGAACGCGAAAGGGACUUCGGUCCUGAGUAAAGUGGCGCACGGGUGAGUAACGCGUAGAUAACCUGUCUUCAUGUCUGGAAUAAUACGCCGAAAGGGGUACUAAUACCGGAUAUUCUUGCUUUUCAUAAGUUAUGCAAGCAAAGGUGGCCCCUGCAUAUGCUACUGCAUGAAGAGGGGUCUGCGUACCAUUAGCUAGUAGGUGGGGUAAUGGCCUACCUAGGCGACGAUGGUUAGCGGGCCUGAGAGGAUGAUCCGCCACACUGGCACUGGAACACGGGCCAGACUCCUACGGGAGGCAGCAGUGAGGAAUAUUGCGCAAUGGGGGAAACCCUGACGCAGCGACGCCGCGUGAGUGAAGGAAGGCCUUCGGGUCGUAAAGCUCUGUCAAGAGGAAAGAAGUGUACAAUGGCUAAUACCUGUUGUAUUUGACGGUACCUCUAAAGGAAGCACCGGCUAACUCCGUGCCAGCAGCGGC